Molecule: ribosomal RNA, 696 nt
Filed under: uncultured bacterium
Lineage: Bacteria
Description: bacterial SSU rRNA
Rfam family: Bacterial small subunit ribosomal RNA
Source: RNAcentral
AACGCUAGCUACAGGCUUAACACAUGCAAGUCGAGGGGAAACGACAUCGAAAGCUUGCUUUUGAUGGGCGUCGACCGGCGCACGGGUGAGUAACGCGUAUCCAACCUGCCCACCACUUGGGGAUAACCUUGCGAAAGUAAGACUAAUACCCAAUGAUAUCUCUAGAAGACAUCUGAAAGAGAUUAAAGAUUUAUCGGUGAUGGAUGGGGAUGCGUCUGAUUAGCUUGUUGGCGGGGUAACGGCCCACCAAGGCGACGAUCAGUAGGGGUUCUGAGAGGAAGGUCCCCCACAUUGGAACUGAGACACGGUCCAAACUCCUACGGGAGGCAGCAGUGAGGAAUAUUGGUCAAUGGACGAGAGUCUGAACCAGCCAAGUAGCGUGCAGGAAGACGGCCCUAUGGGUUGUAAACUGCUUUUAUAAGGGAAUAAAGUGAGAGUCGUGACUCUUUUUGCAUGUACCUUAUGAAUAAGGACCGGCUAAUUCCGUGCCAGCAGCCGCGGUAAUACGGAAGGUCCGGGCGUUAUCCGGAUUUAUUGGGUUUAAAGGGAGCGUAGGCCGGAGAUUAAGCGUGUUGUGAAAUGUAGACGCUCAACGUCUGCACUGCAGCGCGAACUGGUUUCCUUGAGUACGCACAAAGUGGGCGGAAUUCGUGGUGUAGCGGUGAAAUGCUUAGAUAUCACGAAGAACUCCGAUUG